RNAcentral lists this ribosomal RNA (465 nucleotides) under Vreelandella stevensii. RNAcentral describes it as "partial 16S ribosomal RNA". It matches the Rfam family "Bacterial small subunit ribosomal RNA", at positions 338 to 795 of the family's 1533-position model. The record is from RNAcentral. Lineage: Bacteria; Pseudomonadati; Pseudomonadota; Gammaproteobacteria; Oceanospirillales; Halomonadaceae.
CCUACGGGUGGCAGCAGUGGGGAAUAUUGGACAAUGGGCGAAAGCCUGAUCCAGCCAUGCCGCGUGUGUGAAGAAGGCCUUCGGGUUGUAAAGCACUUUCAGUGGGGAAGAAAGCCUUGGGGCUAAUACCCUCGAGGAAGGACAUCACCCACAGAAGAAGCACCGGCUAACUCCGUGCCAGCAGCCGCGGUAAUACGGAGGGUGCGAGCGUUAAUCGGAAUUACUGGGCGUAAAGCGCGCGUAGGCGGUCUGAUAAGCCGGUUGUGAAAGCCCCGGGCUCAACCUGGGAACGGCAACCGGAACUGUCAGGCUAGAGUGCAGGAGAGGAAGGUAGAAUUCCCGGUGUAGCGGUGAAAUGCGUAGAGAUCGGGAGGAAUACCAGUGGCGAAGGCGGCCUUCUGGACUGACACUGACGCUGAGGUGCGAAAGCGUGGGUAGCAAACAGGAUUAGAUACCCCAGUAGUC